GAAAAACUGAACCAGUUGCAGCAAGACCUAAAAUAGAAGAAGCACCUCCUGCAGUUAAAGAGCCUGCAGUCACAAAGAAGCCAAGAACUGAGCCAGUUGUACCAACACCUAAAAUAGAAGCAGCACCUUCUGCCGUUAAAGAGCCUGAAGUCACCAAGAAGCCAAGAACUGAGCCAGUUGUACCAACACCUAAAAUAGAAGCAGCACCUUCUGCAAUUAAAG
Molecule: long non-coding RNA, 222 nt
Organism: Conger conger (European conger)
Lineage: Eukaryota; Metazoa; Chordata; Actinopteri; Anguilliformes; Congridae
Exons: 3
Source: RefSeq, a predicted model, not a curated record